This 2382-nucleotide unclassified non-coding RNA is filed under the name Haliotis rufescens (red abalone). RNAcentral's name for it is "calmodulin-beta-like, transcript variant X1". Lineage: Eukaryota; Metazoa; Mollusca; Gastropoda; Lepetellida; Haliotidae. The record is from RNAcentral.
UCAAAGCUUACAGGGGCGUCACCGCUUGGCCGCCAUGGGUUUAGGUAGCAGCGCUCCGAUUCCACCACAGACCUCGUCUCGCAUCCCCCUGUCGGUACCUGCUCGUGGAACAGUUGUCUUGGAGCCGUCAGGAGGAAGCAUGGUGCCAACGACGAGGGGGAGGUGUUGAUAGUUGCAGUGGCCGGAUACAUAUAGUUUGAGCGAAAGAGGACAACACACAUUGGGAAAAUGGCGCAGCGGCAGAUUCAGAGGAGGCAGCGGUACACAAAGAAGCACAUCUUUUCCGAUGAGAAGAUUCAAGAGUUGAAUGACACAUUCAAGAUGUUCGACAAGAAUGGAGACGGCAUGAUCACGACAGACGAGCUCGGCAGCGUGAUGAUCUCCCUGGGGCAGAGACCCACUAUACAGGAGAUCCGUGGCUUCAUCAGGGCCGUGGACACCGACAAAAGCGGGUCUAUAGAUUUUGAUGAGUUUCUCGACAUCUUUGCCCGGAAAGUGACGAUGGACCCCGAGAAAGAACUCCGUGAAGUAUUCCGCGUUUUUGACAAGGAUAAAGAUGGAUUUAUCUCCCCUACCGACCUGUUCGAGAUACUCUCUAAAUUAGGAGAGAAGAUCAGUCGGAGAGAAGCGGAGGAGAUGGUGAGGGAGGCUGACCUCAACAAGGACGGAAAGGUAGACUACUCUGAGUUUAAGGCUAUAUUAACAUCGCGAUAACCUGGACUUGUUGAUGUGGCGGGACACACAUACAUUAAGAGCCUGCCGAUCAAGAAAAGAAUUGCUUGUCAGAGUGAACCCUCUACCUGCUGCCUCUCAGCAUCUUCUGAUACUUGUUCGUCAACAAUGUGCAUUUACAGACGGGUUGUUUGUCAACAAUGUGCAUUUAUUGACGGGUUGCUUGUCAACAAUGUGCUUUUUCAGAGGGGUUGCUUGUCAACAAUGUGUAUUAACAGUCGGGUUGCUUGUCAACAAUGUGUAUUUAUUGACAGGCUGCUUGUCAACACUGUGUAUUUAAAAAACGGGUUGCUUGUCAACAAUGUGCUUUUUCAGAGGGGUUGCUUGUCAACAAUGUGUAUUAACAGUCGGGUUGCUUGUCAACAAUGUGUAUUUAUUGACAGGCUGCUUGUCAACACUGUGUAUUUACAAACGGGUUGCUUGUCAACAAUGUGCUUUUUCAGAGGGGUUGCUUGUCAACAAUGUGUAUUAACAGUCGGGUUGCUUGUCAACAAUGUCUAUUUAUUGACUGGCUGCUUGUCAACGAUGUGCAUUUAUUGACAGGUUGUUUGUCAACAAUGUGCAUUUAUUGACGGGUUGCUUGUCAACAAUGUGCAUUUAUUGACAGGUUGUUUGUCAACAAUGUGCAUUUAUUGACGAGUAUUAUUGAUGGUGUUCGUGAGUAGCGGAGUAAUGCCUCUUGCACUGCUUCCUUACACGGACUGUUCCAUGAUGAAUGGAAGGCCUCCACUGGACCUGAAGAUUUGCUACCUUUGAGAUGUGUAUGGUCCAACCAAUAAUACACAAGUUAAUAUUGUCUGAACAUUGUGUAUAUACUCAAGGGCAAAAGUAACUGUGAUCAAACACAUUUUGUCGGACGCAAUACUAAACUGACGGCAUGAAAGCAUGCACUUGAACCGUUGAUUUGACCAAAACACUACAAACGUUAUCAAAACGUUACUAAGCUAACACAACUAAAGGUCCAAAACAACUGUGAUACCCGCAUCAAAUACAUCACCACAAAUAACCAUUUCUUAUUUGUUUCAUUUUUUAGCCACCAUCAAACAUGGGUGCAUGCUUUCUUUUGCUCGGUAGUGUAUAAUAAUCAUGAAGAUUUAACACAUUUACGAAGCCAACUUUUGCCUCAUGUAUCUUGUAGGCUUUAGAUCAAGGGACAAAGUGAGAUUGUGAGUCUUGUUGUUCUAAACCACGUGACACAUAUAACAGUAUCCUUGCAUUUGAUUUGCGUGGAUAGAUGCUCUUGGUGUCAAUCACUGGAUUGCCUGGUCCAGACUCGAUGAUUUACAGACCGCAAUCACAUAGCUGGAUUAUUGCUGAGUGCGGCGUUAAACAUCAAAGAAACAAACGAACUGAAUCUUCACGCUACAUGUUCCUACUAGUUGCCUAAAUAUAUAUACUACCGACAGAAAUAGGGGACCUGAUGAAAUGACAGUGUAAUGACGAUAAAUGUCUCUGAAAUCAAUGUCGGGCAUGCAGAUCAAUAUCUGGUGUGUCCACCAUAAAUGCACGACACCUUGAUGGCACACUAUAGGGGUAACGCUAUUUUUCAGGGCAUUUAUCAUUUGCAGAAGCCCGAGGGCAGUUGAAAAGACCGAGGGCUUCGGCAAAUUAUAAUGCCCUGAAAAAUAGCGUUACCGUUAAUAUAUCUAU